Molecule: unclassified non-coding RNA, 319 nt
Filed under: Hevea brasiliensis (rubber tree)
Lineage: Eukaryota; Viridiplantae; Streptophyta; Magnoliopsida; Malpighiales; Euphorbiaceae
Source: RNAcentral
AACAGUGGUGCGUUACAUGAUAAGAAAAUGCAAUGCAACAAAACGCUCAAAACCCAGCUCUGGAAAAACACCUCCACAAAUCAAUAGCGUAGUUAUGGGAAUUAUGAAGAGCACUGAAUUUGGACACGAAGUGGUUAUUGAUCCUAUUAGCUUGAAUUUUGCUAAAGAUAAUAAGAAAGGUGAAGUAGAUGCUACUGCUGCUGCUGCUUUGACGACUAAAGCUACUGAUUGUUGCUUUUGUAGGAUUUAGGAAGGAUGGUUUUUCACCAUCAAUCUUCUUUAAAUAUUCAUGCGUGUAUUUUUUUUUUCUUAAACCUGG